GGAAUAUUGGACAAUGGGCGCAAGCCUGAUCCAGCCAUGCCGCGUGCAGGAUGACGGUCCUAUGGAUUGUAAACUGCUUUUGCACAGGAAGAAACAACGCUACGUGUAGCGUCUUGACGGUACUGUGAGAAUAAGGAUCGGCUAACUCCGUGCCAGCAGCCGCGGUAAUACGGAGGAUCCAAGCGUUAUCCGGAAUCAUUGGGUUUAAAGGGUCCGUAGGCGGUUUAGUAAGUCAGUGGUGAAAGCCCAUCGCUCAACGGUGGAACGGCCAUUGAUACUGCUAAACUUGAAUUAUUAGGAAGUAACUAGAAUAUGUAGUGUAGCGGUGAAAUGCUUAGAGAUUACAUGGAAUACCAAUUGCGAAGGCAGGUUACUACUAAUGGAUUGACGCUGAUGGACGAAAGCGUGGGUAGCGAACAGGAUUAGAUACCCUUG
Molecule: ribosomal RNA, 435 nt
Filed under: uncultured Flavobacterium sp.
Lineage: Bacteria; Pseudomonadati; Bacteroidota; Flavobacteriia; Flavobacteriales; Flavobacteriaceae
Description: bacterial SSU rRNA
Rfam family: Bacterial small subunit ribosomal RNA
Source: RNAcentral